RNAcentral lists this ribosomal RNA (497 nucleotides) under uncultured bacterium. RNAcentral describes it as "partial 16S ribosomal RNA". It matches the Rfam family "Bacterial small subunit ribosomal RNA", at positions 28 to 507 of the family's 1533-position model. The record is from RNAcentral.
GAUGAACGCUGGCGGCGUGCCUAAUACAUGCAAGUCGAGCGAACGGACGAGAAGCUUGUUUCUCUGAUGUUAGCGGCGGACGGGUGAGUAACACGUGGAUAACCUACCUAUAAGACUGGGAUAAUUUCGGGAAACCGGAGCUAAUACCGGAGAAUAUUUUGAACCGCAUGGUUCAAAAGAGAAAGACGGUCUUGCUGUCACUUAUAGAUGGAUCCGCGCUGCAUUAGCUAGUUGGUAAGGUAACGGCUUACCAAGGCAACGAUGCAUAGCCGACCUGAGAGGGUGAUCGGCCACACUGGAACUGAGACACGGUCCAGACUCCUACGGGAGGCAGCAGUAGGGAAUCUUCGGCAAUGGGCGAAAGCCUGACGGAGCAACGCCGCGUGAGUGAUGAAGGUCUUCGGAUCGUAAAGCUCUGUUAUUGGGGAAGAACAGAUGUGUAAGUAACUGUGCACAUCUUGACGGUACCUAAUCAGAAAGCCACGGCUAACUACGUG